UCCUAUGUGACGUGGUUUUAAGUUAACCGGGCUUUAUUUUGUAACUCUACCUUAUCGCAUCUAAAACAAAAAUAACUCAGAAGACAUAUUCGAUGAUUGUAAAGCUCUCUUCCACUACUAUUGUAUUUAUACAUUGGUGAUUCUUGUUGUUCCUUCGAUUCUUCCCAACAUACUGAAUCAUGAAGAUUCAUCAUAUUUCCAUUCGAGGUUAUUUUAUCAUCCUAUUUAUCUUAAUUUUUUCUUAUUAAUCAAGUGAUAAUGUAAGGAGUUUUUCGAUUUUAUCUUUUUUAAUUUGUUCUAGUUGCACAUUAGAUGAAAUUAAAUUAGAUUGAUUCUAAUUUUUUUUACUAAUUUCAUUACAUUAAGAUGUUUGAUCGAUAACAGGUUUAUUUCUAUGAUGAUAUUUCUAUAUAUUCAUCUUAAUUCAGAAUGUACACUAGGUGUUUGAUUAAAUGUCUUAGUGAACUUUUGUGCUAAUAUGGCAUAAAAGCAUAGUCUGUUAUCUAAAAUGGGUAUCAGAUGUCUAAUAAGUUCAUUUGGUGUCAUGUUGAAUCCACUGUAACUGUGGUAUAAGAGGUGACUCAUCGCCUAAAUACAUUAUUAUAAAGCUUGCUUUUCCUUUAGUACAUUGAUGUCCUCAUCUUUCUUGCAACUUGAAUUAAAAAAUUUAUGAAUGAUAACAUAUAUUCAAAGAUCACCAGUUAUAAAUGAAGACCAAUACUACUAAUUAGUCCUUACAGAAUUGCCACCUUAUCGGUCAAAAUCUUGAUCACGAACAUGGGUGUUUUCAUUUCCACCUCAAAUAUUCCAUCGCCAAAAUUGGAUGAUUCCAUCAUAGAAAUAUCAAGAGGUUCCAUACUUAUUCAUUCUUUGAUAUUUAAAAUUACUUUACAAUUAAGUUAUAAAAUAUUUCACUUGUGUAAUGCAGUAUUGGAUAGAUUUUCAAGAAAUAUACCUUCGGAAAACUCCUAUUGGCCUUCAAAAGCAUACCAGCAAAUCAAAAUUGAGAGGAAGUUUUAUACAUGACAGAACCAGAAAAAUGGUUACCAAAUGCAGUUUAUACAUGAGUUCAAGUAAAGUAACAAAGUUUUACAAAUUUGUUUUACUCCCUCGUAUCAGAUCAGAUAUACGCAAGAACAAGAAGCUUUAAUGAAUGGCCAAAAUGUGAAGAGAUGUUGUAAUUUUAUCAGCAGUCGAACCGAGGUUGAAUUCGAUUUUUUGGGACAGGGGCAAAAUCGUCCAAUAAGAGGAAAACCCCCAUCAAACUUAUGUGUAGAUUAACCCAACAGUAACCAAGACAUUACAUAUUGCAGUUUAACAUGUUUUAACACAUCAUCUCGUUACAAUAUCUUGAAUUGGGUUUCUUUGCUCGAGAUUUGGUGAGAAUACUUGAAGAAUUCAAAGAAUUGUAAAAACUCAAAAAAAAAAAAAAAACUUUGGGUUGUUGUAUAGUAACUAAACCAUGUAUAUGUUGACAAAAAGUGUGUCAUACUUACUUUUAUAAGCAGAAAUAGCAACCCACUUUUCAUUUUAUAUUUGAAAUAUCAUUUUAUGAGUACACACAUAAUACUUUCGUUUUAAUAACAAAGUAGCAUCAUACUUUCAUUUUAAUAAAAAAUAGCAUCAUAUUUUCGUUUUAAUGAAACUAUGUUGCCAUUAUUGGUUAAUCUUUGUUAGAUUGUCAUUGUCUUGAUUGAUGUGUCCCGGAACCUGAAUAUAAAUUUGGUAAUAAACCAAUAAUGGUAUUUUAAAGUAUUUAACAAAGCUAACCACGAAUCACGAAUGACAAUUGAGCUAAAUUGCAACAUAAUACUCAUAUUUUGUUUUUUGUUAUUCAACAUUUAAUAGCAUUUUAAUAUCAUAAAAAAAUUGUCAUACAAUCUAAUCCAUUCAUUUUGGUAACUAUAACAUCCCAAUCAUAAAUGAAGUACAUCUAAAAAAACCUUUUACAAAAAAUAAUUACAUUAGAUAAUAAAUUCUAUCGAUCCUAAGCCACCUCCCUAAAGGCAUCUAAAACCCUUCCAGCUGUAGAACUUUUGUUGUCAUUGUAGUAUGUCUUGUUAUAUGCCAAAUGCUAUCUCAUGCAACCAAAAAAGAAGAGUUCUUCAAUGUUGUCCAGAAGCUACAUUAAAAGAAUACAAAUAAAAUUUAAAAAAUAUAUAUAUUUAACAAGAUGACCCAAAAUCAUUAAAAAUUUUGAAAAAAUAUUAGAUAAUAACUUAACUGGUUAAUUAACGAGUAGGGCAUGCCAUCAUAAAUCAGUUCAAAUAUGUAACAAUAAAGAAACAUCAAAAUCAUGACAAUAGUUGGUAAUAACCCCACCAAAAAUCACAAAAUAUUUAUGCAAAAUUAGUAAGAAAUUAAGGGUCAUAAAAGCUUAAUAUUUAUCUUCUUGGGAAAUAAAGCAAACAUCUUUGCAGCGAAUUUUUCCAAGCUAUCAUAUGUCUUUCUUGUUAUAUCCACAUCAUGAAUUUGCAUGAAUGGAGACAUGUCAAUUGACACCACUUGGACGCCAUUAAAUAUGGAGAAAUUUGUUAGUUCCACCUUCGAGCAACACCCAAAUGACCUUCUUUUACCCAUAUCGAUUCCAACUAAUGGAAAAGAUUGCUUCUUUAUCUCACACUGUUGUUGUAGUUUCCUCAUAUUUUCUUGAUUUCCUGGCAUUAUGCCGAACACCUCGUGGGUGGAAGUUAACCUUUCACAAUUCCCCUGUAUCCACACACCAAUUUCACCCAAAUUAAACCUAGUGAUAUUGAUAUUGAUUGACAUAAAAGAAUGUAGAGAUACCGAUCAUCGUAAGUUUUCAAGGAAUUCAUGAAAAUUUAUUCAACAUAAGCUAAUUUGAUCAACUUAUUGUUUGAUUUUAGGAAAAAUAAUGGGUGUUCCAAAAUUAAUUCGAG
This 2900-nucleotide long non-coding RNA is filed under the name Lactuca sativa (garden lettuce). RNAcentral describes it as "long non-coding RNA (LSAT_LNC003791)". Lineage: Eukaryota; Viridiplantae; Streptophyta; Magnoliopsida; Asterales; Asteraceae. The record is from RNAcentral.